Molecule: ribosomal RNA, 468 nt
Filed under: uncultured bacterium
Lineage: Bacteria
Description: partial 16S ribosomal RNA
Rfam family: Bacterial small subunit ribosomal RNA
Source: RNAcentral
GACGAACGCUGGCGGCGUGCUUAACACAUGCAAGUCGAACGGAAAGGCCCUGCUUUUGUGGGGUGCUCGAGUGGCGAACGGGUGAGUAACACGUGAGUAACCUGCCCUUGACUUUGGGAUAACUUCAGGAAACUGGGGCUAAUACCGGAUAGGAGCUCCUGCUGCAUGGUGGGGGUUGGAAAGUUUCGGCGGUUGGGGAUGGACUCGCGGCUUAUCAGCUUGUUGGUGGGGUAGUGGCUUACCAAGGCUUUGACGGGUAGCCGGCCUGAGAGGGUGGCCGGCCACAUUGGGCCUGAGAUACGGCCCAGACUCCUACGGGAGGCAGCAGUGGGGAAUAUUGCACAAUGGGCGGAAGCCUGAGGCAGCAACGCCGCGUGCGGGAUGACGGCCUUCGGGUUGUAAACCGCUUUCGCCUGUGACGAAGCGUGAGUGACGGUAAUGGGUAAAGAAGCACCGGCUAACUACGUG